UACGUAGGGUGCGAGCGUUGUCCGGAAUUAUUGGGCGUAAAGAGCGUGUAGGCGGCCAGGUAGGUCUGGUGUGAAAACUCGAGGCUUAACCUCGAGAUGUCAUCGGAAACCAUCUGGCUAGAGUCCGGAAGAGGAGAGUGGAAUUCCUGGUGUAGCGGUGAAAUGCGCAGAUAUCAGGAAGAACACCAAUGGCGAAAGCAGCUCUCUGGGACGGUACUGACGCUGAGACGCGAAAGCGUGGGGAGCGAACAGG
RNAcentral lists this ribosomal RNA (253 nucleotides) under uncultured bacterium. RNAcentral's name for it is "partial 16S ribosomal RNA". It matches the Rfam family "Bacterial small subunit ribosomal RNA", at positions 524 to 776 of the family's 1533-position model. The record is from RNAcentral.